CCUUUGUGCUAUCUGAAACCUCCAGCAAGAAUGUUUAUGGGACAUGAGGGUUUGAUUCCAUCCUUUGCGUUGCCUAUGACUCCCCAUCAAAAGCAAUAUUUGUGUUUAAAAUUCAAUUACAGAGGAGAGAGAGGCCACAGCAACUAAGUUCAGAACGAGCUCCAACCUCCCCACAGCCUGGGGGUGUGAGGCGCCCAGGGCUAGGCUAGUCUCUGCUAAAGACCAGUGAUGCCAUCAGCCGGCCAUUACACCUGAGUCGUCGUUAAUGAGCUGGAAACAUACAAAUGCCUGGGUGAGUCUGGAGGGCCAUUAGAUUUUCCUGCACAGCUUUUGUUAUUGUCCUUAUGCCAGGACAUGAUUUCUGUCAUGUCACAUGUGGAGUCCCACUAAUGCAUUUUAUUAUUGCAGGGAUCCAACGAACGAAUGAUAAUAGAUAAAUAAGAUACACUAUGACAAGGCUGUGGGUAUGCAAGUACAGAUUGCAGCCGUGUGUCCUUCAGCAUGACGUGUAUGGAGCUCGUGGAAAGUGGGAGGUGACCAGAUGUCACCGGCUGGACCCUUCUGAAAUCAUCAGCUUUCCAGCAGAGAGACGUCCCCAUCCCAGUCCUUGGCCUUACAGCUGCCUCCAAACAAACCGUGUUUCCUUGCAAAUGAGGACAAGUUGCUUGAGGUUUCUGAAGGGAGACAGAGUGUUUACGAUAACCCAUCGCACAGAGAUGGUUCAAAAGAUGCUGGGAGCGAGGAGACGUUUUCCUCUGAAACAUUCACUGACCCGAAGGAACUGUUAA
This 788-nucleotide long non-coding RNA is filed under the name Chrysemys picta bellii (western painted turtle). RNAcentral's name for it is "lncRNA (ENSCPBG00000021605.1)". Lineage: Eukaryota; Metazoa; Chordata; Testudines; Emydidae. The record is from RNAcentral.